GCAAGUCGAGGGGCAGCAUAACUUAGUUUACUAGGUUGAUGGCGACCGGCGCACGGGUGCGUAACGCGUAUGCAACCUACCUCGUACUGGGGAAUAGCCCGGAGAAAUCCGGAUUAAUGCCCCAUAGUAUUCUAUACUGGCAUCAGUUUUAGAAUUAAAGGUUACGGUACGAGAUGGGCAUGCGUCCCAUUAGCUAGAUGGUAAGGUAACGGCUUACCAUGGCAACGAUGGGUAGGGGGCCUGAGAGGGUGAUC
RNAcentral lists this ribosomal RNA (254 nucleotides) under uncultured bacterium. Its description in RNAcentral is "partial 16S ribosomal RNA". It matches the Rfam family "Bacterial small subunit ribosomal RNA", at positions 57 to 305 of the family's 1533-position model. The record is from RNAcentral.